CAAAAGUUAGCGUGUCGUCCAUCCACAGCUCCGAAUUAGUUUCGCACGUAGCGAAUAAACAGAAUACAAUUAUCUUCUUUAUACAUAAGACGAUAAAUUAAUGUCAUCAAGCAAGUUAUAUCUAACUAGCAGCCCGUCCCGGCUUCGCUCGAGUAAAACCACGGGUUCCUGACAUCGGGAUAUGCAUCGUCGAGUCCGCGUUUCAGCGUGGUGAAGGCGUGUUCAUGCUGUGCCCGCGCCCAGUACAUUUUAGCUUUCUCUAUGAACAGCUGCGACGGCUUGUAUUCCUCUGCGUUCAGUAUGUA
This is a long non-coding RNA of Plodia interpunctella (Indianmeal moth), 305 nucleotides long. RefSeq lists it as uncharacterized. The transcript has 3 exons. The record is from RefSeq and is a predicted model, not a curated record. NCBI's taxonomy places the organism in Eukaryota, Metazoa, Arthropoda, Insecta, Lepidoptera, Pyralidae.